CCUACGGGUGGCAGCAGUGGGGGAUAUUGCACAAUGGGGGGAACCCUGAUGCAGCGACGCCGCGUGGGUGAAGGAGUGCUUCGGCAUGUAAAGCCCUAUCGGCAGGGAAGAAGCAAGACGGUACCUGACUAAGAAGCCCCGCCUAACUACGUGCCAGCAGCCGCGGUAAUACGUAGGGGGCGAACGUUAUCCGGAUUCACUGGGUGUAAAGGGUGCGUAGACGGCCAUGCAAGCCAGGGGUGAAAGCCCGGGGCCCAACCCCGGGACUGCCCUUGGAACUGUGCGGCUAGAGUGCGGGAGGGGCAGGCGGAAUUCCUGGUGUAGCGGUGAAAUGCGUAGAUAUCAGGAGGAACACCGGCGGCGAAGGCGGCCUGCUGGACCGCGACUGACGUUGAGGCUCGAAAGCGUGGGGAGCGAACAGGAUUAGAUACCCCUGUAGUC
Molecule: ribosomal RNA, 441 nt
Filed under: uncultured bacterium
Lineage: Bacteria
Description: partial 16S ribosomal RNA
Rfam family: Bacterial small subunit ribosomal RNA
Source: RNAcentral